Molecule: ribosomal RNA, 492 nt
Filed under: uncultured bacterium
Lineage: Bacteria
Description: bacterial SSU rRNA
Rfam family: Bacterial small subunit ribosomal RNA
Source: RNAcentral
AUGGCUCAGAUUGAACGCUGGCGGCAUGCCUUACACAUGCAAGUCGAACGGCAGCACGGGGGCAACCCUGGUGGCGAGUGGCGAACGGGUGAGUAAUAUAUCGGAACGUACCCUGGAGUGGGGGGUAACGUAGCGAAAGUUACGCUAAUACCGCAUACGAUCUAAGGAUGAAAUGGGGGAUCGCAAGACCUCAUGCUCCCGGAGCGGCCGAUAUCUGAUUAGCUAGUUGGUGGGGUAAAGGCCUACCAAGGCAUCGAUCAGUAGCUGGUCUGAGAGGACGACCAGCCACACUGGGACUGAGACACGGCCCAGACUCCUACGGGAGGCAGCAGUGGGGAAUUUUGGACAAUGGGGGCAACCCUGAUCCAGCAAUGCCGCGUGAGUGAAGAAGGCCUUCGGGUUGUAAAGCUCUUUUGUCAGGGAAGAAACGGUUGGGGCUAAUAUCCUCGGCUAAUGACGGUACCUGAAGAAUAAGCACCGGCUAACUACGUG